GAGCCUACGGGACGCAGCAGUGGGGAAUAUUGCGCAAUGGGCGAAAGCCUGACGCAGCGACGCCGCGUGAGGGAUGAAGGUCUUCGGAUCGUAAACCUUUGUCAGCAGGGAAGAACGGUCACUGUGCUAAUCAGCAGUGAAUUGACGGUACCUGCAAAGGAAGCACCGGCUAACUCCGUGCCAGCAGCCGCGGUAAUACGGAGGGUGCGAGCGUUAAUCGGAAUUACUGGGCGUAAAGCGCUCGUAGGCGGUAUGUCAAGUCAAGGGUGAAAUCCACGGGCUCAACCCGUGAACUGCAUUUGAAA
Molecule: ribosomal RNA, 305 nt
Filed under: uncultured bacterium
Lineage: Bacteria
Description: bacterial SSU rRNA
Rfam family: Bacterial small subunit ribosomal RNA
Source: RNAcentral